RNAcentral lists this long non-coding RNA (43418 nucleotides) under Capsicum annuum. Its description in RNAcentral is "long non-coding RNA (CANN_LNC000139)". Lineage: Eukaryota; Viridiplantae; Streptophyta; Magnoliopsida; Solanales; Solanaceae. The record is from RNAcentral.
GCGUUUGUUUUCGUUGAUAAUAAAGAUAUCCGAGACCAAAAACCUCGAAAAAGGAUCCCAACAACGAGCAGAGAUCCAACUCGUGAAUAUUAGACCCACAAGAUUGAGAGACACCCCCUAAAGCACAAUAUCGAAGAACCAAUCACAAAAUAGGCAAACCCGAAGCUCUCUAAAUCCGGUGAAGGACUGAAAAGCUUAUAGGAAUUGAGUUCUAGUAAGAUGACAGUGAUCAAAACCAAUGGGAAAGGUCAGAUUCCGGCGACCUUGAUAUUUUCCGGUCAGAUUCAACUAAAAACCACCGAAAAAUAGAGAAAAUUUUGGGGAUUUCAGUUGGACUUGCUGAACGGGCGAUCUGGACACACAUUGCGCCGAUCCGGCAAGAUUUAAACUGAAAAUGAGGUUGAGAUUCACUGUUUCGGCACGGUUUAGGUCAGAAUGGAGCUGGACCUCCUAUUUUAGCUACACCGAAGUUCCUACGAACUCUGUAAUGGAGACCAUUUGGAGAUAAUCGACGGUUGUAGCAUAGAAGUCACCGGAAAAAGAAAUAAAUCUAUCAACACUCUUUCCCUACUCUCUUUCUCUCCCGUUACUCUCUCUCUCUCUCCGUUUCUCUCUGCGUGUGUCGGUGAUGGAAAUCCAUAUAUUAUGAUGGUGAGAUAAAAAUUGAAUGGAGGUGUGUGUUGGGUGUUGAGAGUAUGAAAAUGGAGAGUUGUUGGGAGCCCAAAAACUAGAAAAACAAUGAAGAUGAUGGUGACUUCCCCCCUGCUUGAGACUAUUUGGCGUGUAUAUAUGGCAGUGAAAAGUAUGUGGGUCAAUUGUGAGUGGAGAUUUCCAGUGGGUCCCACCCUUUUUCAAUUUUGUUAGGUGAGAUGGUGAGGUUAUUUUUUUAAUUGGAGGGGUAGAGGUUAGGUGUCUAUUUUGAUUGGGUGGGGUUGUUGGAAUGUUAGAAUGAGACAAAGUUUGUUAUAACUUGUUAUUUUUGGAUAAAAAGAAAACAAAAAUAAAUAAAUAAAUAAAUAAGUAAAAGAUGGGGUGGUUAUUUAUUUUCUUGAGGAAAAAUUAUAAGAAUUAAAUUAUGUGAUAUUGGAACGAGAAAUAUUUUUGACGGGGCAAAAUUAAGUGUCUACAAUAUUUAAGUACAAGAUCACCAAAUACUGUUUUAGGGUUAUUCAUCUGUAUCGCAACUCGAAACUUUUCAAUACUAAUGGUUUUGACAGAAUCAUGGUGGAAUUUCGAUAUUAUUUCACGCCGCAUUGGUGAGGAGGAGUUAUCACUUUCCUCGGCUUCAUUUUGCCCUGACUGAGAUUGUUCUGGAAGUUCCUCCGAAUCUAUCUGUACUCUAGAAUUUUUUGUUUGGUGAUUGGAAGUUGAUCCACUUUCUCCACUUUCAGUUUCUUUUAUUUUGGGAGACAUCUUUUAACUACAAACAAAAGAAAAACAAUAAAUACAUUGCAUUUGAUGUCUGCAUAAUUUUUUUAAAAAAGGUGAGACAAAUUUCAAUAAAUUAUUCUUACCACAUAACCAAAAAAAAUACUCCAACGGACAACCCAUCAGUUGGAACAGAUGGGGAACUCGAAUCUGUUUGAAGACCUAUUUAAUAUCUCCCAACAGAUAUUCCACCUGUUGCAAUAGGUGGGGAAAUUUCAAUAAAUUAUUCUAUGCCACAUUACAAGAAAAUACUCCAAUGGAUAACCCAUCAGUUGGAAUAGAUGGAGAAUCUGUUUGAAGGCCUAUUUAAUAUCUCCCAAUAGAUCUUCCACCCGUUGCAAUAGAUGGACCACUACCACCACAACCAAUGCCACCAAGACCACCACCAAUGCCACCAAUACAAUACCAAGAUACCGACACCACCGCCAAAAAACACAAAUACCAACACCACAAACAACACCAAAAACACCAUCCAACAAUACCACAAUAAUAAACUAAACACUGAGAGAAAAACUAGGGUUUUCUCAGGUGCUUCCUACCUUUUUAGCAUCCAAAACUCAAAAUUAUAAACCCAUUCUCAAAGAUAAUACAACUAAAAGUCUUCUUUUUUUAUCAUUAACUAAAAAUCCCUAUUUUUUCGAAUAAAGAACAAACGUAGAACUCUUCUCGAACUCUAUUACAUGCGAAGAUAUAGAAAAUUACGGCUACAAGCGGGAAUGAAGUAAAAAAAAAACAACUAUAUGUAGUAGUAAAUGAAAAGAAAAUUGACCUAUUUUGAAGGGUUGAGCAAUAUGUUGAGUAGUUGUUGUUUGUAUUGUUGAGAGGGAGAGGACACUUAGAGAGAGAGAGAGAGAGAGAUAGAAGAGCUAGAACUUAAGAUUUGAAAUGAAAAGUUUUUCACGCAAAUGGAUGAUUUGUAUGGGUUGAUUUCUAAUUUUGGAAAAAAAUGACAAGUUUUAAAAUUGCUAAUUUGGUCCGAAUUGAUCUUAAUUAAUUUUUAAAAUUUUAAAAUAUAUAGUUUUUAAAACAUUGAGUUGAUGAGAACUUAUUUUAACUCAGAGUAAUUGAUCGAUGACUCGGGUUGGGAUGAACGCAAUACCAACGCCAUGCGAAUAAAGAACAAACGUAGAACUCUUCUCGAACUCUAUUACAUGCGAAGAUAUAGAAAAUUACGGCUACAAGCGGGAAUGAAGUAAAAAAAAAACAACUAUAUGUAGUAGUAAAUGAAAAGAAAAUUGACCUAUUUUGAAGGGUUGAGCAAUAUGUUGAGUAGUUGUUGUUUGUAUUGUUGAGAGGGAGAGGACACUUAGAGAGAGAGAGAGAGAGAGAUAGAAGAGCUAGAACUUAAGAUUUGAAAUGAAAAGUUUUUCACGCAAAUGGAUGAUUUGUAUGGGUUGAUUUCUAAUUUUGGAAAAAAAUGACAAGUUUUAAAAUUGCUAAUUUGGUCCGAAUUGAUCUUAAUUAAUUUUUAAAAUUUUAAAAUAUAUAGUUUUUAAAACAUUGAGUUGAUGAGAACUUAUUUUAACUCAGAGUAAUUGAUCGAUGACUCGGGUUGGGAUGAACGCAAUACCAACGCCAUGCAAUUGCAAAGACUCGAUUGGAUUUGUAGUUGACCCUGCGAGCUCAUUCAUUUAUCCCUAGUUCCACCUAAAUCAACUUAUAUACUAUCACUAUCCUAACAUUGAGUUGAUGAGAACUCAUUUCAACUCAGAGUGAUCGAUCGAUGACUUGGGUCAGGAUGAACGCAAUACCAACGUCAUGUAAUUACAAAGGUUCGAUUGGAUUUGUAGUUGACCCUAUGAACUCAUUCAUUCAUCUCUAGUUCCACCUAAAUCAACUUAGGUACUACAACUAUCAUAACAUUAAGUUGAUGAGAACUCAUUUCAACUCAGAGUGAUCGAUCGACAACUCAGGUCGGGAUGAAUGCAAUACCAACGCCAUGCAAUUGCGAAUACUAGAUUUGAUUUGUAGUUGAUCAUGCGAGCUCAUUCAUUCAUCCCUAAUUCCACCUAAAUAAACUUAGGUAGUAUCACUAUUCUAACAUUGGGUUGAUGAGAACUCAUUUCAAUUUAGAGUGAUCGAUCGAUGACUCAGGUCAGGAUAAAUGCAAUACCAACGCCAUGCAAUUGCAAAAGACUCAAUUGGAUUUGUAGUUGACCUUGUGAGCUCAUUCAUUCAUACCUAGUUCCACCUAAAUCAACUUAGGUACUAUCAUUAUCCUAACGUUGAGUUGAUGAGAACUCAUUUCAACUCAGAGUGAUCGAUCGACGACUCAGGUCAGGAUGAACGCAAUACCAAUGCCAUGUACUUGCAAAGACUUGAUUGGAUUUUCAGUUGACCCUCUGAGCUCAUUCAUUAAUCCUUAGUUCCAUCUAAAUCAAUUGCAAUGAAAUCUGUUGCAACAAACGACUAAGCUAUUGAAAAUUUUCAAACAUGUACAUAUCUGUUGUAACAGAUGACAUAUCUGAUUUAAUUAUCAAAUAGAUAUUUGCAUCUGUUGUGACAGAUGAUUGAGCUAAUGGAAAUUUUCAAAUAUAUAUAUANNNNNNNNNNNNNNNNNNNNNNNNNNNNNNNNNNNNNNNNNNNNNNNNNNNNNNNNNNNNNNNNNNNNNNNNNNNNNNNNNNNNNNNNNNNNNNNNNNNNNNNNNNNNNNNNNNNNNNNNNNNNNNACAUAUCUAAUUUUAUUAAUUAUCAAAUGAACAUUUUCAUCUGUUGUCACAGAUGAUUGAGCUGUUGGGAUUUUUAAAUAGAUAUUUAUAUCUAUUGUAAUAGAUGACUGAGUUGUUCGAAUUUCUAAACAGAUAUUUAUAUAUAUUGCAACAAAUGACAUAUCUGUUUGAAAAUCUUUUUUUCUCUUUUAAUUUUAAAGCAAGCUUCUGUUCCGAGUAGAUAAUAUCAAGUAGUAGUACUUACUACUAAAGGCGGUAAAAAAUGUUUCUUGGAUAUCUCAAAAGUGAGUUCAUUGAGCAGUAUUGUCUUGUCUUUUCAAUGUCAGUAGCCUUAGUCUUCCUCGUGCCCCUCAAAUUAUUAAUGAAUAUUAAAAACCACCACGUCUACGUACACAAUACAUCUAUAGAAAUUAUUUCAUCUCUUCUUUCAGCUGCAGUUUAUUUUAUUCAACUCUCAUCUUUUUAUUUCUCUCCUCUUUAGGGUCACAACCUUUUUUCUCUCUUUUCUCUUCUCUUCUCAUAAAGAUCUUUUUGGAUCUAAAUCCAUCCAUAUAUUUUCUUAACUUAAAUUUCUAUUUUGAUUCCCUUUUUGAUAUUAAGGUUUGGUUCAUUAUUGCUCUUUAAUUCUCGUCUUCUUCUUUGCAAGUUAUUCACAUCUAUAUUUUUAUUUAAUUACUAUUUACCCAUAUUAUAUUUAUUAAAAAAAUUUGAAAGAACUUUUAAGUGUUGAAUAAACAAUCUGAGAAUUUUUAUUACAAUAUGAGAAAAAAAAUUAUCUAUUGGGAGAAGUAUAAAAACCUUGUUGGCAGUAUCAUUUUUUUUGUAUGUAUUUUUUUGUUUCUUUAUUUUUGAUGCAGUUAUUGAUGUUGUUGGUGGGGUUGGCAUUGUUAGAACUCGUGGUGUGGUGGUGUUGAUGGUUCUGAAACAAUUUAUUAUUGAUGAUGUUGUUGGAACAAAUGUUGUUGUUUCUUUUUUGUUGAUGUUGUAACAGAUGGAGAAACUGUUAGAACAAAUAAAACCACUAGAAAGGCUGGUUUAAUGUAUUUCAUCAGACUCCAUAUCUAUUGCAAUAGACUCCAUAUCUGUUGCAAAAGACUCUACAUCUGUUGCAACAGACUCUACAUCUGAUGCAACAGAUGGAUAAUGUUCUUUUUGUGACAUCAAUUUUUUUCCUCUUCUUUGUAUAUAUAAGGAACUGACAGUUGAUCAACUUUUGAUGGACUAUUGUAAGAGGCUGCAGUAAAGAUGGGUUCAGAGGAAUAAGCUGCUUGCAGAUGGAACCACUUCAUAUGUAGGAGGUAUGUAUUACUGAUAUAGUAAUCGUGGAAACACACAUAGAGUGCACUGAUUUUGUGAAUGCUGUUUUUCCUGAUUAGUCAUAGAUCGUUCAAACAAGAGGUCUGCAAUUUUAUAAUUAAGUUUGGUAGGUUCAAACUAAUAAGGAUGAGGGACUAUGAAUUGGACUAACUUUUAGGGUGUAUUGGACCCUUAGAGGGCCUUCGAAGCUUAGCACUGUAUCUAACAAGAAAGGAAAAACAAUAUAGUUAUUACCCUGGAUAAAAUUUAUAUGGCUAGGUUUCUCGCUCCGGGUGAUGAUUAUAUGCUAGAAGGUACGAUAGGAGAAUGCUUUUGAGGGAAAAUAGGUGGUUAAUGGAAGACUAUAUCAUCUCAGAGCUAAUUAAAGAAUAGACAUAGGGUAGAUACAACUUCUAACAAAUUUUGUCGAUGGAAUUAUCUUAAAAGAUAGCGAGAUCUGAAUCAAGUGCAAAUAUGAAAGUGUAUCCAAUAAUGUAAUUUCAUCUUUUGUGUCUCUGAAAAAAAUCAUGCAUAUUGACACUUUGCUAGGGAGCUGCGUGGUCGGGAUUAUCACCUAGAUAAAAAAUAUGAGAAGACCAACAAAGAACCCUCACGGGCAUCGGGGUUUGAAAUGAUGUACAAUAAGUCUAGAAAACUUACGCCAAUAACAACUGCAGUUAAAAUAAUUCUAAGCGAAGGCUGUAAUUUCUGAAUUUUAAAUUUUAUCCCAUGCUUUCUUGUUUGUGUUUUAGGCCAGGUCCACUGUCGUUGACCUAAUCGGAACCACAAAUGAGAUUGAAAGGCAAAUAGAGUAUCAUUGCUUCCUUAGCAAUAUGAUUAUAAUUGAUUGUGUUUUCUUCCCUUAACAUGCUUUCAACAUUCCUUGGAGAUGAUCAGAUGCUUGUUGUAGUAUGUGAAUCCCAAUAAUUUUCAAGCUUGCCUCCAGCUUGUUGAUUCUGUAUUCAAGUUGGUCGUUGUCAUCUUCGAAGUUGGUUAGGAGUUGCUCAUCUCUUGUGAGCUCGAUCAGGGACACCACCUUCAAAGUUAUGGCAUUCUAGAAUCCCUUCAGAACACUUUCUUCAGAAGUCUUAAAGGAUACAUGGAGGGUCUCUGUGUUUGUUUUAGGUCAAAAUAUGUUGAUACAUGUUGAAGAUGUGGUCCCAACAGUUGAACAACAUACUUUUAUCGAGCGUUUCUCCAUGCAUCUUGCUCAACCGAUUUGAUAAAUUAGUAAGCAUGGAGUUACAUAGUGUGUGAUCUAAACCAUCUCUAUAAAACCUAUCAAAUGUUACGUAACUCCAAGAUCAUUAUCCUAUCAAAAAAUAUGAUCGAGUUAGUGCACAAAUCGAACGAGCUCAAUCUCUCAGCCUUUCUGCUGAUCUGUCUUCUCCAAUAUAGAUGACAAGAUAUCUACUAUGCAAAAGUCUACACCGUCGCCAGACAUGCUUGACUGGGAGCAAUUCUUUUGAAGAUAUCUGUUGAUGUCUUCUAAAGAAUUUCUCCCAAGCAAGCAUGUCUGGCGAUGGUGUAGACUUUUGCAUAGUAGAUAUCUUGUCAUCUAUAUUAGAGAAGAGUGAUCAGCAGAAAGACUGACAGAUUGGGCUUGUUUGAUUUGUGCACUAACUCGGGCAUAUUUUUUUGAUAGGGUAAUGAGAUCGAAGUUACAUAAUGUUUAGUUUAGAUCACACGCUACGUAACUCUAUGCUUACUAAUUUAUCAAAUUGGUUAAGCAAGAUGCAUGAGAAACUCUCGAUAAAAGUGUGUUGUUCAACUCUUGGGACCACAUCUUCAACGUACAUCAACACCUUUUGACCUAAAACAAACACAGCAACCCUCCAUGUAUCCUUUAAGGCUUCGGAAGAAAGUGUUCUAAAGGGCUUCUAGAAUGCCAUAACUUUAAAGGUUGUGUUCCUGAUCGAGCUCACAAGAGAUGAGAAACUCUUUACCAACUUCGAAGACAACAAUGAUCAACUUGAAUACAGAAUCAAUAAGCUGGAGGCAAGCUUGAAAAUUAUCGAGAUUCACAUACUACAGCAAGCAUUUGAUCUUCUCCAAGGAAUGUUGAAAGCAUGCUUAGGCAAUAAAAUACAAUCAAUUAAUCCAUAUUGCUAAGGAAUUAAUUAUACUCUAUUUGCCUUUCAAUCUCAUUUGUGGUUCCGAUCAGGUCAACGACAGUGGACCUAAUCAGAAACAUAAACAAGAAGGCAUGGGAUGAAAUUUAAAAUUCAAAAAUUGCUGCCUUCGCUUAGUUUCCUUAUUUUAAUUGUAAUUGUUAUUGACGUAAUUUUUCUAGACUUGCUGAACAUCAUUUCAACCCUCGAUGCCCGUGAGGCAACUUUGUUGGUCUUCUCUUAUUUUCUAUCUAGAUGAUAAUCCUGACCGCGCAUCUCCCUAGAAAAGUGUCCAUCUGCAUUGUUUUUCUUUCAGUGACACAACAGAUGAAAUUACAUUACCAGAUACACUUUCAUAUUUGCACUUGAUUCAGAUUUCGCAUCUGUUAAGAUAAUUCCAUCGGCCAGAUUCAUUAGAAGUUGUAUCUACCCUACGUCUUUUCUUCAAUUAUCUCUCAGAUGAUAUAAUCUUCUGUCAACCAUCUAUUUUUCCUAAAAAUCAUUCUCCUACCAUACCUUAUGUCAUAUAAUCAUCACCCCGAGGGAGCAACCCAGCCAUAUAAAUUUUGGCUAGGGCAAUAACUAUAUUGGUUUAACAUUCUUGUUUGAUGCAGUGCAAGGCCUAGAGGGCCCUCUAAGGGUCUAAUGCAUACUUUAAGUUAAGUUCAAUCACUAUUGGUUCUCUGUAGUGACAACAAAUAUUGAUCCCUUCUCAAAACUUGACACACAUAAAUGCGAGCAACAACCGUCAGUAAUUCGUAACAAGGUAUCUGCCCCAUCUUCAUGUGGUCCUCAGCCUUAUCAAUUUUGAACCCAUCAAACUUAACAUUAUAAUGUAGGAUUUUGUUUGAAUGAUCAAUUCCUAAUCGGUUAAAAACUGCAUUCACAAAAAUAUUGUACUUUGUGUGUGUUGUCCCGGUGACCUUAUCAGUAAUGCAUACUUAAAUCCCACACAUAUAAUAGUGGAUCCAUCUGCACACAACUUAUUCUUCCUAGCCCAUAUAUGGCUUAAAUUGAAUAAAUAGAUGACUAGCUAGUUGCAACAGAUGACACAACAGUGUAUAUUGUCAAACAAUUGAAGAUAUCUGUUACGACAAUUGAUUAACCUAUUGCAGAAAUCAAACAGAUAUAUACAUCUGUUACAAAAGAUUACCAGUAUGUUGUAUUGUAAGUUAUCUACCAGAAAGAGUAUAUUUUGCAAUAGAUUACCCAUCUGUUAGAUUUAUUUUAAAGCAAUUUUCUUUUCUUUUAGAGAUACAAUAAUUUAUAAAUAGGUCCCUCCUUACAAAUAUGGAUGAUCCAGAUUCGUACAAGAAUAUUCAUAUCGAGUCCUUGCGUGAACUUCAAAGGCAGUUUGAUGAAUUUCAGAGAGAUUUGGAUGACUUCGAAGCAAGGCUGCCAGAUGAAAAAUGUCCGAUUGACAAUAAUAAUAGUAGUAGUAAUAAUAAUUAGGUAAUAUUUUUUAUUUUAGCGCAUGUAUAUAUUUUUCUUUCCUCCUUUUGUAUAUCGGAUCUACCCAAGGGAUUCAAAAAUCUAUGAACAUUCAUUUCAUUUUGUUGUCGACUUUGAAUUUUUAAUUCUUAUUUAAUCUUUAAUAAUAAUCAUUCUAUUUAUUCCUUGUUCUCAAUAUGUCGUCAACGGUUGGUGGUAGGGAUUGAGCAGCAAUUUGUGUCAAAAGAGGUUAAUCUACUACGACAGAUCGAUCAUAUGUUGCACCUGGCGGUUAUUAAUAAAAAAGGGUUAUUGUUGUUAUUGAGAGGGUGAAAAGAAAAAGAAGACAUAACUUUCCGAUUAUUCAUGACAUUCACUUUCCGAUUAUUCAAUAUGAAAAAUGUUUCGUAAACAAAUAAUAAGGAAAUAAAUGAUAAACACUAUUUAUAACUACAAUUUUAAUAAUUGAUCGUGACUUUUCACCAUUUUUGUUUUUGAAUUUAUUUUUAAAAUUAUUUAUUAAUAAAAUAGUUAUUAUUCUAUUAAGGAAUUUGAAAAGGUGUUUUUUUUUACUUAUAAAAUAAAAAAGUAAGCAAAUUUGGAUUAAUGAUAUGAUGAUAGUUAUUUUUUUUAAAAAAGUAGAUUAUAUGUUGCAACAAAUAAAUUAUCUGAUGCAAAUUUCUUAAUAAUCUGAAAAGUCAUGACUUAUCACAAUAUUUCUUAAUUUAAUUAAGUCAUUACUUUUCAUAUUAAUAAAAAAUAUAAUUAAUAAAUGGAGGUGAACAGUUAGAUUAUAUGUUGCAACAGAUAGGUUAUCUGAUGCAACAUAUUUUAUAUUUGUUGCAACAGAUAAUAUAUCUGUUGUCACAGAUGUGUUAUCUGAUGCAACAGAUAUAGAAUCUGUUGCCACAAGUCAAUAAAAAUGGUUCUUAGAAAGAACUAAAUAAUAAUAUAAUCUGAAAAGUCAUGACUUAUAUCACAAUAUUUAUUUUCUUAAUUUAAUCAAAAAUGUAAUUAAUGUAUGGAGGUGAGUAGUCGCGCCUUUUGGCCUCUCAUUCAAAUUCAAUCCUCUAUAAAUAGGUCCCUCCUUACUCAUUCGUUCAUUCAACUACAAUCUAUUUAUUUAUUGCAUCUCGUCUUUCAUAUUACACUCUAGAAGAUAAGAUUAUGGUUGACCCAGUGUGGAACGUUGCUUUUUUGCAAGACGCCAUGAAUGAACUUCAGAAUCAAGUUCAUGACCUACAAUGGGAACUAGGAGGAGUUAGAGCAAGAAUACUCCACGAGAUACGCAGGCUGAGGAGGGCCUUGCUACUUCCAGUUGAAGAUUGGCCGGCUGGCAAUGAUGAUGCUGAUGAUAAUAAUAAAAAAUUGAUUAUUAUUUUUCUUUUAGUCUAUUAUAUGUAUUUUUAUUUAUUUUUGUUUAAUAAAUAAAAUAUGUUUGAUCUUUGACAUUUUAAUCCAUAUUUAAUUUUCAUUCUUUCUAUUAUCUUCUCAACAGACAUGUUGAUGAUUCGACAUAAAAAGGAAUAAUUUAGAAUUCAGUAGCAAUAGCAAGAUUUAUCUGUUGGGUUUGUGGCAGGGGUUGAUGUGUUGUUCAAAAUAGAUUACUCAUGUUGCAACAGAUAUGAAGUUGAUGUAACAGAUAAAUUGUCUGUUUCAAUAGAUGACUAGUUUGUUGCUUUGCUUGGAUCUACCGUUUUAAUUCGUACUCUCUCCGUCUCAAAUUACCCAUCCCAAAUUGAGCUGCCACAUUGAUUAAGAAAAAUAAUUAAUAACAUGUCUAGUUUACCAUAACCCACUGACCAGUUGGUGGGUCAGUAGACAUGUUUGAAAUAACGAUUGUUUGCUAUUCAAUCAAAAUUUCAUAAGAGAAGAAAGCUUUUAACGUCGCUCGGCGUAUAGCCCCCUAUUAAAUGAUGUUUCCAUUUUAAUUUGAAGAAAAAGUGAUUAAUGUAAAGAGUUAAACAUUGAUUUAUUUAAUUUUUUCUUGAUUAAUGAAAAAGACAAGUAAAAUGAGAAAUCGAAUUAGGAAAUUUGGGACGGGUAAUUGGACGUAAGGAAUAAUUUUGAAUCUAGUAGAAAUAGCAAGAGUUGAAAAUAUAUUGGUUAUCUGUUGGGUUUGUGGCAGUGGUUGAUUUUUGUUGUUUUAAACAGAUUAAUCAUUCGUUGCAACAGAUAAUUAGUCUGGUGCAAUAGAUAAACAUCCUUAUACAACAGAUAAUACAUCUGAUGCAACAGAUAAACAGUCUAAUGCAACAGAUAAGUCUUCUAAUACAACAAAUUUCUCAUUUGAUACACCAGAUGAUUGAUCUAUUUAAAUUGUGGGCACUUAUGCUGGAUUCAUGAUCGAGGUUCUAUCCAUUGUUGAAAAAACAGAAGUGUACCCAAAUGACAAAUACGAAUAAAAAUCAUAAUUUUACUUACCAAAGUCACCUAUGAAGUAAUGCCAAAGUGGAAAGUGAUGUAGUAAGCAAAAUUUGACCUAAGAAAUUGGUCAGAUCAUAGCAGUAGCGCUGUACCAACAACAACAACAACAACAACAAAUGGUCGACAAGAAGUGGAUGGAGAUGAUAAUGAAGUAGAAGAUGAUGAUAAUAAAGCAGAAGAUGAUGAAUAAAGUAGCAGAAAUAGAAACAAUGAACAACAAAAAUUUCUAAGACCGAGAAAACAACAAUGGAUGAUAAGAGAGAGAAAUACGCCUUUUUUUCCUCCAUUUCCCAUUAUUUUAGGUAUACAUUGGGAUCAAAGUAUAAAUUUAAAAACUUGUGGGUUAUUUUCAAACUUUUCCAACUUUCUUAAUCCAUAAUAAAGUAAUUGUCACCUUCAACUAAUAAUUAAGACUUAUGUCACCUAUGCCUCAUUUUAAAAUUCUUUUGUCACCUGUGGCCCAAACCCUCGAGAGACUUAUAGAUAUAAGAGAAGAUUUUAUUUUCUUCUACUUUGGUGUGUAUUUACAAUGAGAAUAGAAUGCCUUUCAUAGGCAAUAGUAUGUGGAAAAAGUAUACUAUGUGAAAAUACAAAAUCUUUACAUCCUACAAUAGUAUGUAUAAUAUGUGUAGUAUGUGAAGCUACAAUAGAGUAGUAUGUGAACAUCCACCAAAUACAUUCUUUACAAUACUUCCCCUUGGAUGUUCAUGUAAAAGAGAAAUUCCUUAAAAAUAAGAUGCACAAUAUUGGUUUGUAAUACGUCUUAUUUGUUGCCUCAUUAAAAACCUUACAAAGAAAAUUCAGUGGGAUAAAACAUUGGUUAAGGAAAAAAGAGUGCAUUGCAUAUGUACUCCCCCUAAUAAGAACAUCACUUAAUAACUAGGAGAUGACGCAUCUCAAUAUUGUAUCGCAACUUCUCAAAGGUUGAUGUUGACAAUGCUUUAGUGAACAUAUAUGCUAGAUUAUCGCUUGAGCGAAUUUGUUGAUCUAUUUCACCUUUCUUCUUAAGAUCAUAAGUGAAAAAGAAUUUUAGUGAAAUGUGUUUUGUUCUGUCUCCUUUAGUAUAACCUCCCUUCAACUGAGCUAUACAUGCAACAUUUUCUUCAUAAAAUAUAGUUGGAAUAUCCUUAUUCAAAGAAAAUUCAUAUAUUUCCUGAAUAUGUUAAGUCAUUGAUCUCAACCAAACACACUCCUGGCUCGCUUCAUGAAUGGCAAUGAUUUCUGCAUGAUUUAAAGAGUUUGCAGCUAAUGUUUGCUUCAUUAAAUGCCAUGAUAUAGAUGUGUCACCAUAUGUAAAUAAAUAACCCAUCUAAGACUGAGCCUUAUGUAGAUCUGAUACGGGUACAAUCAUGAAGAUGGACAUUUUUUAGUGUGUUGAAUGCAACCUACAGAGUGUAUGAGUUGGAGUGUGAAAAGAGCUCAAAAGUCGUCCCUAUAUUGCACUCCAUGAGCCAUUUUGUUCAUUUAACACUAAGGAAUACUUUUGUCAUUUUGCCUAUUAUCAUAAUAAGUCUAUAAAUAGAACAUGUUAAGGUUUAUUUUAUUUGGUUUCUGAAUAUUGAUGUAAGAACACUUGAGAGAAGGCUCUCUAGGCCGAAAACUAAGGCAUGAAAAGUAUGGAAACACUUGUGAAUAUGUAUUGCUUGGAAACGUUGGUGCUUGAGCAGUGGAAUCCCUCUCGUGCCUUCGUAAGAGUAUGGUGUUGCUAUUGUAAGUUCUAUGGGUCCUUAGAUGGAAUAUGUCUAGGGUUCUUGGAUCUUAUUGUAGUGUAUGUCUCACUUCCUAUCUUUACAUUUCAUGUUUUAGUUUGUGUUGUCUAGUGAACUAUUAGUUCUUGUUGUUCUUGUAAUCUUGUAACCGUUGGUUCUUGUUAUCAUAGUGUUUUUUUCCUACCAUAUUAUUGAUUAUCUCUUGUUGUUGUUUCUAUUUUUGGUGUCAAAUAAACCUACAUAUCUUGUAUUCUUGUUGUGUUUGUCGAAUCUGAGAGAGGUCCCCAUUUGGUCUGUGAUUUGUUAUGAUUUGUGGACUGUUUUGGGGUUCAAUUUCGUGUUCCCUUAUUUUGUCUUGUAUCAUUUGGUAUCAAAGCCGAGUUUGAUUUUGUUCCUAUGAAGUCAAUCUUGGGUUUGUUACUUAGAAAAUCAAAAACAAAAGCUGAAAACUGAAAAAAAAAUUCCAGAAAAGUUGAAAUCUGUCCAUUUUUGUUUCUUGGCCGAAAGUUGUGUUCUUGUUGUCUUGGCCGAUAUUUGUUUGUUAUGUGUCUAGAUCUAGUAGUGUUCUUGUUUGGUUUGUCGUUUCUAGUGUUAGUUUUCUUGUUCACUAACAUUUUUGAGUCUAGAUCUAAACUUGAGCUUAAACUUGUAGAAAGUUGUUGUUGUGAACAUUGUUGUGGCCGUGAGAUAUUGUUGUGUUUCAAGCUUGGCCGUGUGUUGUAUUGUGGAUUUAGAGUUGGACGUUAGGUUGUUGUUGUUUGUUGUUGGAGAUUUGAGGUUGAACAUGUGUUGUUGAUGAUGGAAAACCCAACAUGAACCUUAGAAUUCAAAGUGUUGUGUUCUUGGUGUUCUUCACCACCUUCAUAACUUGUUGAGGAAAAGGUGUUGUUUGAUCUUAACACCAAGAAGAAAGAGAGUGGCAUUGUUGUUAGUCUUGAAGACUUUUUUCAACCACCCUUAAGCCUUCUCCAACAAUCUUCCAAGUUUUAAGGUCUUUCAAGACUUUUCCUACACAAAACAAAGACUUUACAACCACUUCUAACAACCUUCCAUGAUUUAAGGACCUUAUUUUAUAGGAAUAGUAUUAGCCAAGUCAAGACUUUUGUUUGAAAAUUGAAAAGAGUUUAAAGACUUGUAGUUUCCCUCCAUUAACCAAAUCUCAAUCAUCCAAAUUGAAAAUUGACCAAGACUUCCAAAUUGAAAAAUAACAACUUAUUUAAAAACCACAACCAAUACGUGGCUUCCACAUUAUUAUUUACUGUUCACACGAUAAUUUUAAGCUCAAAUUUUGAUCUCUUAAGAUUCAAUUUGUUGUUUUCUAGUUUCGUUUGUUGAUCCCAAUACCAACUUACAAACUAGUGACCAUUUACUAGAUUGUGAGUUGGUUUUGGAAACCGUUCUUUGUGUUUACGUACUUAUGUGUUUCUUUUCUUGUUCUUUGAAGUCGUUGUAAAUGUUUGGUUCACCUCUCAACACCUCACGGAGUACAAGCAACCUUACAACACUUGUGAGAUUAAAGUGUGAGGAAUCUGAGAGGCAAAGAAAUAAAGAGAGAGUGUGAGGACCUUUCUUAUACAACUAAUUUAUUUGUGUUUUGUUGGUAACUUCUUAGCGACAAUGAAUAACAAUGUUCCUAAUUCUAUCUUGGCCGGGAAUGAAACUCAAUUGAGCCGAAUGAGAUUGAAGGCAAAUCUCAAUAUGGAGAGAAAGCCAAGGUUCAAAAUGAAGUUGUUAUGUUCUCGAUUUCUUCUUAUUUUGUGGUCUAUUUUGGAACCAUUUUCAUUUGAUUUGUGCCGUGAAUUUGAGGUCAAAUUCCUCUCAAGAUGGAGAAGAUGAUACAGGUACAAUCCUGAAGAUGAAUAUUCUUUAAUGUGUUGAAUGCAACCUACAGAGUGUACGAGUUGGAGUGUGAAAAGGGCUCAAAAGUUGUCUCUCUAUUGCACUCCAUGAGAGCCAUUUUGUUCAUUUAACACUAAGGGGAACUUUUGUCAUUUUGCCUAUUAUUGUAAUAAGUCUAUAAAUAGAACAUGUUAGGGUUUAUUUCAUUUGGUUGCUGAAUAUUGAUGUAAGAACACUUGAUAGAAGGCUCUCUAGGCCGAAAACUAGGGCAUGGCAAGUGUGAAAACACUUGUGAAUGUGUAUGGCUUGGAAAUGUUGGUGCUUGAGUGGUGGAAUCUCUCUCGUGUCUUCGUAAGAGCGUGGUGUUGCUAUUGUAAGUUCUAUGGGUCCUUAGAUGGAAUAUGACUAUGGGUUCUUGGAUCUUAUUGUAGUGUAUGUCUCACUUCCUAUAUUUACAUUUCAUGUUUUAGUUUGUGUUGUCUAGUGAACCAUUGGUUCUGGUUGUUCUUGUAAUCUUGUAACCGUUGGUUCUUAUUAUCAUAGUGUUGUUUCUUCCUACUAUAUUGUUGAUUAUCUCUUGUUGUUGUUGCUGUUUUUUGUGUCAAAUAAACCUACAUAUCUUGUAUUCUUGUUGUGUUUGUCGAAUCCGAGAGAGGUCCCCAUUUGGUCCGCGAUUUGUGGACUGUUUUGGGGUGUGAUUUCGUGUUCUCUUAUUUUGUCCCGUAUCAAGAUCAGAUAAGCAUCCUGCAUCUACAUAACCAAUCAUUUCUGACUUGGAUUCAUUUGAAUAAAAUAAUCCCAAGUCAAUGGUUCUCCGAAGAUAUCUGAGUAUAUGCUUGACACCAUUCCAAUGUCUAUUAGUUAGGGAAGAGCUGAAUGUUGCCAAUAAACUUACCGUAAAACAAAUAUCUGAUCGCAUAUUAUUGGUUAGAUACAUUAGUGCUCCGAUUGCACUGAUAUAUGGAGUUUCAUCACCAAGAAGAUUUUCAUCACUUUCUUUAGGUCGAAAUGAAUAUUUGUUUAUACCAAGCGAUCUCACAACCAUUGGGGUACUCAAUGAAUGUGCUUUAUCCAUAAAAAUCUCUGUAAAAUAUUUUCAGUAUAUGUGAAUUGAUGGACAAAUAUUCCAUUUGUAAAAUGUUUAAUUUGUAGAUCAUGACAAAAUUUUGUCUUUCCGAGGUCUUUUAUUUCAAAUUCUUUUUUCAAAUAUUCUACUAUCUUUGAAAGCUCUUCAGGAGUUCCAAUGAUAUUCAAAUAAUCAACAUAUACAUCUAUUAUAAUAAAUUCAGAUCCAGAUCUUUUAAUAAAGACACAAGGACAAAUUGGGUCAUUUUUAUACCCUUUUUUUAAUAGGUAUUCGCUAAGGCGAUUAUACCAUAUGCGUCUUGAUUUUUUUAAUCCGUAUACGGAUUUAUGAAGCUUGAUUAAACAAUUUUCUCGAGAAGUUUUAUAUGCAUCAGACAUUUUGAAUCCUUCAGGAAUUUUCAUAUAAAUAUUACUGUCAAAUGAGCCAUAUAAGUAGGCAGUGACAACGUUCAAAACAUGCAUAUCAAGUUUUUCAUGAACUGCCAAAUUAAUAAGAUACCUAAAGGUCAUUGUAUCCACCACCGGAGAAUAUAUCUCCAUAUAAACAAUGUCAGGUCUUUGCGAAAAUACUUGUGCCACAAGUCGUGCUUUAUAUCUUACGGCUCCAUUUUUCUUAUUUCGUUUUCGUACAAAAACCCAUUUGGACCCCACUGGCUUUAUACCUUCAGUUGUUUGGACUAUAGGUCCAAAAACUUUGUAUUUUUCAAGCAAAGUCAAUUCAAUUUUGACUUCAUCUUUCCAUUUUUGCCAAUCAUUUCUCUAUCUACAUUCUUUGACAGAUUUUGGUUCAAGAUCCUCAUAUUGUUGCAUAUUUCAUUAGCAAUAUUAUAAGCAAAAAUAUUAUCGAUAAUUACAUCAUUUCAAUUUCAUGUUUUUCUUGAUGAGACAUAACUGACUGAGAUCUCUUUAUUUUCAUUAUUUUCAGGUACCUGAACCUCUUCUGAGGUUUCAUCAAUUGUUAUGUCUUGCUGCUCUUCAUGAGUAGCUUCUUCCAUAUUAUGAUUAUUUUGAUCAUUUGCUCAUCUUUUUUUAAAUUUUUUUUUUAUCUUUAGAACUGAUUGGUCUACCACGUUUUAAGUGGGUUAGACUCACUUGCAUUACUCAAUUGUCCUAUCGGGACAUCAACUCGAAUAGGAGCAUUAGCAGUUGGAAUAUGAGAUUUUGUAAUUCUUGAUAGGCCAGUGAAUGCAUCUGGCAGUUGAUUUGCAAUAUUGUGCAAAUGAAUUAUCCUUUGAAAUUCUAGUUCACAUUUAUUUGUACGAGUAUCUAAGUGAGAUAUUAAUAAUGCAUUCCAGUCUAUCUCCUUUUCCAACUGCUUAUUUUCUCCCCCUAAUGUUGUGUAUAUUGUUUCAUCAGAAUGACAAUCAACAAAUCUUUCUGUAAAUAAAUCUCCAGUCAUAGGUUCCAAAUAUUUUACAAUAGAAGGAGAUUCAUACCCAACAUAUAUUCCCAAUCUUCUUUGAGGAUUCAUUUUUGUGCGUUGUGGUGGAGCAAUUGGAACACAUACCGCACAUCCAAAAACUUUUAGAUGGAAAAUAUUUGGCUCUUGUCCAAAAAUUAAUUGUAAUGGGGAGAUGUUAUGAUAACUUGUGGGCCUUAUCAGCACAAGAGCUGCUGCAUGCAAAAUAACAUGACCCCAUAUCGAAAUGGAAAGUUUUGUUCUCAUAAGCAUUGAUCUAGAGAUUAUUAGAGGCGUUUAAUCAAUGAUUCUGCUAGACCAUUUUAAGUAUGAACAUGGGCAACCGUUUGUUCAACUGUUAUUCUAGUUGAUAUACAAUAAUCGUUAAAAGCCUGGGAUGUAAAUUCACCCGCAUUAUCAAGACGAAUUGUCUUUAUUGUAUAAUCUAAAAAUUGUGCUCUUAAAUUUAUUAUUUGAGCAAGUAAUCUCGUAAAUGCCAAAUUACGAGUUGAUAAUAAAUACACAUGUGACCAUCUUGUAGAUUCAUCUAUUAAAACCAUAAAAUAUUUAAAUGGUCCAUAUGAAGGGUGAAUGAGCCCACAUAUAUCACCCUAUAUACGUUCCAGAAAUGCAGAGGAUUCAAUUCCCACUAUUAAUUUUCCUUGAGAACAUGCAACACAAGAAAAUUCUUUAAAUUGAAGAAUAUUCUGGUUCUUCAAUGAGUGUCCAUAUGAAUUCUCAAUUAUUUUGCGCAUCAUAUUAGAAUCGGGAUAGCCCAACCGAUCUAAUAAUUAGUAUUCAUUGAAUGUGUAAAAGCAAAUUUGUAAAGUUUCAAAAAAGAAUUUUAAUUGAUAAAUUAGUAAAAUUAUUUUCUCAUUUAUAAAUUCUCAAGAAGCGUGCAAAAGUAAAAGUAAUCAAAUAGUAGUCUUGCUAGAUUGUAAAUCUUUACUUGGUAAUCAAUGGAAGUUGUUAAUUAUAAAAAAGGAAAAAAAAUUAUUUUUGACAUAAGAGUAUUUGGAGCUUAACUUAAAACAUAGUGUAUGAAGCUUAACUUAAAAAUUAGUGUAUGGAAUUAGACUUGCAGACAUUUGCUUGUUCAAGCAGAUUUUAGAUAUUUUUAUUGAAAUUUGUCUAUGUCGUUUUCAACAUUUGAAGUUUAAUUUUACCAGUUUCAAACAUCAAAUAUUUUAUGUGAAGUUUGUUUUAACAAACCUAAACUUCAUGUAUUUUUGUUUUGUCUUGAAUUCACAAAUUUUAGACAUUCUUCUUUGAAUUUUAACUUGACAAUUCAAAGUUGUAAAUAUCUCACUUAAGAUCCUCAUUUUAUUUUGUUUUGCUGGUCAUGAUACUAUUGGAAAAUAGGCAUACACAACGGAGGCUAAUAGAUAAGAUCACUUGCAUAUAAUAUGGACGACCAACAUAAACACAUAGAUCAUGCAAAGGAUGCUUAAAAUUAAUAAAGAAUAUCUCUUGAAGCGUGAAAAGAUAUCUUGAAGCAAAUAUGUCUUUGAAUCUGCAGUCUUCUAUAGUGAUCCCAAAUUCACAACCAAACUCUCACAAUACUUGGAUGGGCAAGUACUGAAUAGAAAACUUAUUCCAUUUUUAGACUAGGUAAAACACCUAUUUAUAGAGAUACUCUCCCAGUCCAAGGAGGAAAGAAAAACACACGCUUGUUUCUACUUGAACAAGGACAGAUGAUAACUUCUCCUUUUUCCAUAGAAAAUAGAAUUUAGAGUUCUAGUAUAAUAUGGACAUUCCAGAGACUACAAAAUUAGCUAUUGAGGCUCCCUAUAUGGAAAUGAUUUAAAACACUAAUUUGAAUUAUUCUUACCAUAAUAAAUUAUGAAUUAUUACACUAAAAAUACAUAAUUGCACUCACUCCUCUAUUUUUAUUUUGAAAUUCUCCAUUAAACACUUAUUUAAUUUUCUAUGUUAAGAUUAUAUAUAUUAAUCAAUAAAUUAAAUAUUACUGACGAAUUUAAUAUAAUGAUUAAUUUCCUUUAGAGCAAUUGUAACGACCUAAAAAUUUGAUGAAAUAUGUGAAAUUUGUGAUGUGAUAAUUUUAUCCCUUCCCGUAGUUGCAUUAUGAUAUUUCUGGAGUGUGAGAGUGAUUGACAUAAUUUUUGAUUCAUUUUGCUAUCAUUUAUGCAAUAUUGUGGUUUUUGAUGGCUUCGAGAGCCUUAUUUUGGACUUAUGUGGAUAUCUUUUAAUUCGUACGACAGAUGACUGAACGGACUAUGCCAGUAGAUCCGAAAUAUUGAUUUUAGGAUAGGUAGACCUUUGGUUUGGGUAUCAAUGCACCUGAGCUCAUUUUGACCUAUUGGUCGGAAAGUUGGAAAAUUAAAAAUAUAGUUGUGGGACCCACAUUUGAUUGAAAAGACCUCAGAUGGGAAAUACGGCUUCACCAGCAGAUCCAAAAUAUUGAUUUUAGGGUGUUAGCAUAUUUGGUGUGAUUUUACGACUUUUAAAUCUCAUUUCGACCCUCGAUUUGAAAAAUUGUAAUUUCAGAUUUGGGGGUCAAUUUUAUGAAAAUAAUAUUUUUUUGAAAAUAUGAUAUCGAAAACGUGUUCGUAAUGUCAAAUUUAGUGUGGUUUUAUAGUUCGUUUGUGUAUAUCAGACUCCGAACGAAUCUUGAGCAUCCCGUUGAAGUCCGUUUGGACUUGGGAAAAAAAUGCAGCUUUUCUUUACUUUGCUGGUGCAGAUUUUCUGCACCAUUAAAAUUAGUUUCGGGCUCAUUUUUCCUCAUUUUUCCUCUUGUCUCUUGAGAGUUAAACCUAAAUAGUUUGAGAACUUAAAAGUGAAGCUUGUGGGAUCUUGGGAAGCUAGAUUAAAAUCUAUUUCUUGAUUUUAUUAUUGAUUUAAUAUAAGAAUUCACCCUUUCCUUAAUAAUUUCUUGAUUAAUUUUUCAAACCCCCCAAAAUCUUAGAGUUUGAUUUUAAACCCUAUUUUCACUCUUUUUCACUCGAAUAAUAUUUUUAUCUUAUAAUUACUAGUUUUUUUUUUAUCAAUUUAAUCUUUAAAACUACUCAGAUUCUUGAUUUUAACCCGAUUCAGAUUCUUGAUUUUAACCCGAUUUUCAAGAUUUUACCCAAUAAAGCUCAAAAAUAAUUUUUCUUCGAUUUAAACUCCGUUUUUGACUCAAUUUAACUUGAUUUUUCAGUACUUGAGGAACCUAAAGCUGAAAAAUCAAAUAUAUUUCAUAUUUGAUGUUUUUAGUGGAGUUUGGUAUUGUUCGUGAAAAGUAAGGUCGCGGAUUUAAUUGUAGUGGAUCGGUUUUGGCUUUUGAGGUAGGUUAUGGCUUAACUUUUUCAGACUGGAAUGGAUAGUAAAAGAUGAUACAAAAUGCAUGUUAAAGGUAGAAAGUAAUCAUGAAAAUGUGGCUACUUAUGUGCUGUGCCCGUGCGGUGGUAUAUAUGUGAUGUAAUUAUCGAAAUUGAGUUAUUAUGUGAUAUGUGUGACCGUGUGGGGUCCUAUGUUAUAUUAAUAGACUUGAAUACAUAUGAAUAAUUUUAUUGUGUUGUUAAAAUGAUUAAUGUGGUACCAUUGGUGUAUUGUGAUUAUAUUUAUAUCUUAUUGACAUAUGAGACAUGUGGAAAUUCAUGGAUGAAAUGAAAAUGAUGAGUGGAUAUUGGCUCAUAUGAUUGUGGAAAUCUAUCAUUGUGGUUGGUUGUGAAAAUAUAUCACGUGGUUGAUUAUGGAAAUACUCAUUGUGAUUGGUUGUGAGCAUUACAUCUUCAUAUCAUACUCAUUUAUGAAACAUUAGUACCACCGUGACAAUAUUUGAGAAACAUCGGCAACACCUUUUUAAAAGAUAUUGUACCACCUUAUAAAACACUUUUAAAGGGAUGUUCCAGAAAGGAGACAUGAGAUAUGUGGAUUGUAUACGGGUUGACGAACCCCCCAUGGGUCCUGUGUUGGGAGGAUUACCUCUGUAGGUGUAUACGGAGAUUGUGCGACGAUCCCAGAGGUUGUGCGAUGACCUCGUGCAUCAUCAUCAUAUACAUUUCACUUACUUUAUUGUGUUAUGUUGUGUUGUAUUGGCAUAUUGACUUGUCAUCUAUGUAUUUAUCAUAUCUUCUUUCUCUUGUAUUUGAUGAUCUUGUAUAUACAUGUUCCCCUUGUUCUUUUUAUAUGUGAUAUAAUACAUACUUUUGUUCUAUCUUGGUGUGAUGUUGCAAUAUAUGUGAGAUAUAUUAUAACUAUUAGUGCAAGCGGUGUGGGCUAUCAUUGUGUGACAUUUUUUGAUUGCAGGUGACGUGCCCUUAGUGUAUAUUUUGUAUGCUUUAUUUACUACUUUGCUUGGUCGGCCUAUGAUAACUGCUUGGUCGGCCUAUGAUACCUACUGAGUACAAGUGGACCAUACUCAUGCCUACUGCGCCCUUUCGGUGCAUGUCUUAGCUUGAGUGUUCCUCAGCUUGAUUGACUCGGGCGAUUGUUCGAGCUUCCAAGGUAGCGGUUGAACAUUCAUACGUCCGAAGUUCACCUCUAUCUUUCUAUAGUAGUUAUGUCUUUAUUAGUAUUCGGAGGCAUUUAUUAUUCCUUUACGGUUAUUUUUUUGAUGUAUUUGACUCUUGUAUUAUAUUAGUAGUUCUUACACUAUUGACACCUGGUUUUGGGCAUGAUUGGUAUUUUGGAUAAGUUCUUUCCGCAUUGUUAUGAUUACCUUUAUGGUUCGUCUUGAUUCUAGAAGCCUUACCUUGAGAUAUUUCUGUCUUUUUCCUUUUUUUUUGUAUCAGUUUGGGUGAUAGGCUUACUUAUCAAGGUACGCCGCAACAAGUGCCAUCAUGAACGUCAUUUUUGGGUCGUGACCGCAAUGCUUAACUUAUUUCGUAUAUCAGAUUCAUAAAUCUACUGCUAGAUUUACAUAUGAAAACUUAUACGCUUCUUAUAAAAGGCGUAUCAUGAAUCUCUAUAUUGAGACAUGAAUUUUAUCAACUAACUUAUUAUUUCACCAAUAUAUAUUAUUAUCAUCUAAUCUAUCAGGAAUAUUGUAAGACCCCAUAAAUUUUUCUAGUCGUUAGAGCUUUUAAAGCAUGCCAAGAAAGUCUUAGCAUUCAAAAAUUUGGCUAAAUGUUGGAAUUUUCUUUAUUCCAUAAGCCUGCAAAACUUUGACGAAUUAUUUCUGACCUUCCCGACCUCUGAUUCUUAAAUUUCUUAUUGUAUUGUGAUGGGACAAGUCAAUAGUACAUCUCGGGCGAGUUUUGGAUUUAUAUUCAAAUUUUAGUUGUUUUGGGUAUUCAUUACCCCUAUGGAUGUCAUGUUUUGACAUAUUCUUUAUUCAGUCGAACCUUAUGUCCUAUUGUUCAUGUUUUCCAUAUUUUAUAUGUUAUAUAUUGCAGUAUACAGGUACAGAUAUCAGUCAUGGGUUAGCUUGUGGUCCUUCGGGGUUAUGAGCACUGUGUAGUGUUCCGAUUCAAAAAAUAUCCAGGGCAUUACAAACUUGGUAUCAGAGCCUAAGGUUCAGUAGUCCUAGGAAGUCUGAAAGACGCAUCUAGUAGAGUCUUAUGCAUGGGUGUGUUGUGCGCUAUAUUUAUUUGUAGGAGGCUAUGAGAUGUUUUAGGAAUAGUUUUCCUUCUUUCAGUGUUCAUGUCGUGCUAGUGAGCAUAAUCUCAAGUUAAACUCUUAGUCUAAUCCGUUCUUCUCUUAUUUCAAAAUUUGUCUCCAAAGAGACGAAACCAGCUAGCUCCUCAGCCCGAAGAUCCUUUGGGUGAACACAUUUCUCAUGUGGAGUUUAGAGUUACAUUCACCAUACUUACUCUGUAUGUGGCUUCCCAGAAUGAAUGACCACCAGUUAUUCAGGCCAAUCUAGUGGUCAACUCAUCUGCAGUUAGGAUUUGAGACUUCACCCGAAUGAACCCUCCAUCUUUCUUCGGGUCUAAGUCUGAUGAAGACCCUCAGGAGUUCAUUGAUCAAGUCCAUAAGGUCACUGACAUAUGGGUGUUACUUCUAUUGAGAGUGUUGAGUUAGCCGCCUAGCAGUUGUAAGAUGUGGCUCAUACUUGGCACAAACAGUAGAAGUCUAAGAGGUUAGAGGAUGUAGGUCCUAUUGAGUGGGCGGAAUUUGUCAUAGCUUUCUUAGAUAGAUUCUUUCCCCAAGAGCUGAGGGAGGCCAAAGUUCUUGAGUUUAUUAACCUCAGAUAGGGAAAUAUGACGGUUAAGGAGUAUUCUCUUAGAUUUACUCAGUUAGCCAGAUAUGCCCCUCAUGUGGUUGCAGACAGCAGGGCUAAGAUGAGCAAGUUUGUGUCAGGGGUGAAUGAUAACGGGGUGAAUGAGUGUAGGUCUGCGAUGCUGAACAGUGAUAUGACCUUAGCCAUACUCAUGACCCAUGUUCAACAGAUAGAGGAGCAGAAGGUUAGGACUAGGGAAAGGCAGAACAAAAGAGCAAGAUCAGGUAGUUUCAAUUUUGCUCAGCCUCUAAUCAGAGGAAGAAAACCGUUCGCAGUUUUAUCCCAAGUUAGUAGUUCCAUACCCUUUCUCCGCCACUGCCCAGUGCCAAAAUUCAGAGAUGGAAAUAGAGAUAGAGCACCAGGCUCUAAGUCUUAGGGCAGUGUUAUCAGUGCCCACACUUAUCCUCAGUGUCAGACUUGCGGUAAGCACCAUCAGGGUGUAUGUAGAACGGGUAGUGGUAUUUGUUUCGAUUAUGGCAAACCAGGCCACAGAGUUAGAGACUGUCCUCAGCCAGGUCCUCAGGGUCAUUAGAACCAUUCCAUAGCUCAGUCCGGUUGCCCAAACCCGUAGGGUACCACUUCCAGUGCUACUAGUGGGCAACGCCUAAAUAGACUCUACGCUCUUCAGACUUGAUAAGAUCAGGAAAAUUCUCCUGAUGUCGUUAUUGGUACUUUACAGAUUUUCCAUGAUCAUGUUUAUGCUUUGUUAGACCCAGGUGCAUCCUUGUAUUUUGUUACUCCUUUCAUAGCAGGCAAUUUUGGAAUCAGUCCUAAAAUUUUAGCAGAGACCUUUUCAGUCUCUACCCCAGUGGGUAAAACCAUCAUAGCUCGGCGGGUAUACAGGAACUGCCCGUUUAUGAUAUUUCAGAAAUCCAUAUCAGCAAAUUUAAUCGAGUUAGAGAUGACUGAUUUUAAUGUCAUUCUUGGCAUGGAUUGGCUUCAUUCCUUCUAUACCAUAGUCGAUUGCAUAAAUAGGAUAGUUCAGUUUUAGUUCCCGAAUAAGCCCGUCCUAGAGUGGAAGGGCAGUACUUCAUCUUUCAGGGGUCAGCUUAUUUCCCACCUUCAGGCAAGGAAAAUGAUUUCUAAGGGGUGUGUGUAUUAUCUCGUGCAUAUUAAAGACUCUGGUUCCGAAUCUCCCAGUAUUGAAUCAAUUUCAAUUGUUAAUGAAUAUUCAAACGUCUUUCCCAAAGAUCUUCCAAGCAUUCCUCCCAAAAGAGAAAUAGACUUCGGCAUAGACCUUCCGCCAGAUACUCUACCCAUUUCUAUUCUGCCUUACAGAAUGGCACCAGCAGAACUCAUGGAACUAAAAUAUUAGUUAAAGGAUCUCUUAGAUAAGGGAUUCAUCAGGCCCAGUAUGUCCCCAUGGGUACACCAGUGUUAUUCGUGCACAAUAAAGAUGGUUCUCUUAGGAUAUGUAUUAAUUACCGUCAGCUCAAGAAAGUCACGAUUAAGAACAGGUAUCCACUUCCUAGAAUAGAUGACUUGUUUGACGAACUUCAGGGCGCCAGUUAUUUCUCCUAGAUAGACCUCAAAUCAGGUUAUCAUUAGCUCAGAGUUAGAGAAUGCGACAUCUCGAAGACAGCUUUCCGUACUCGGUAUGGUCACUUCGAAUUUCUAGUCAUGUCCUUUGGUAUAACCAAUGACCCUACAGCUUUCAUGGACUUUUCGUACUUGGUAUGGUCACAUCAUGAAUUUCUUGUCUGAAGAGUUUUCAAGAGUUGAAGACUCGACUUACUAUAACUCCAGUUCUAGCUCUUCCAGAGGGUUCAGAUGGGUUCGUAGUAUAUUAUGAUGCAUUUAGAGUGGGUCUAGGUUGUGUCCUUAUGAAGCAUGGUAAGGUCAUAGCCUACGCCUCCAGAGAGUUAAAGCCCUAUGAGAAGAAUUAUCCUACUCAUGAUCUUGAGUUAGAAGCCGUAGUAUUUGCCUUAAAGAUUUGGAGGCAUUAUCUAUACAGAGUUCAUGUUGAUGUCGUCACAGAUCAUAAAAGUCUUCAGUAUAUCUUUUCUUAGAAAGAUCUCAAUUUUUGUCAGAAAAGGUGGUUAGACCUUUUGAAAGAUUAUGAAAUGAGUGUCCUUUAUCAUCCAGGCAAGGCCAACAUUAUGGCCGAUGCUCUCAGUAGACUUUCCAUGGGUAGUAUUUAUCACAUUGAGUAUAGAAAGAAGAAGAUAGCUCAGGAGAUCCAUUAGCUUGCUAGACUAGGCGUUCACUUAGUCGACUCUUCAGAGGGUGGUGUAUGUGUUCAGAGUAGUUCAGAGUCAUCUCUAGUUUUCGAGGUAAAAGAAAAGCAAGACAGGGAUCCUAGCCUUGUCAAGCUAAAAGAGUCAGUUCAAGAUUAGAAAGUUGAGGUUUUCUCCCAAGGGGGAGAUGGUGUUCUUCGUUGUUAAGGUCGUAUGUGUGUUCCAGGUGUAGAUGACCUAAGGUAGCAAUUCUGGAAGAAGCGCAUGGUGCACGCUACUCUAUUCAUCCAAGAGCCACUAAGAUGUACCGCGACUUGUGGGAGAUCUAUUUGUGGAGUGGGAUGAAGAGAGAUAUUGCAGAUUUUGUGGCUAAGUGCUCUACAUGUCACCAGGUUAAGAUAGAGCAUAAAAAAUCUAAUGGUUCCAUGCAAGAGUUCACCAUUCCUACUUGGAAGUGGGAAGAAGUGAACAUGGACUUCGUGAUGGGUUUUCCUAGAACUCGUUAUCAACAUGAUUUAGUUUGGGUCAUUGAUGACAGAAUGACCAAGUCAGAUCAUUUUCUCCCAGUUCGUACUUCUUAUUCAGCCGAAGAUUAUGCCAAACUCUAUAUCAGGGAGUUGGUCAGAUUACACGGUGUCCCACUAUCUAUCAUCUCAGAUAGAGGUACCUAGUUCACCUCUCAUUUUGGAAAGCAUUCCAAAAGGGUCUUGGUACCCAAGUCUAUCUCAAUAUAGCGUUUCAUCCUCAGACAAAUGGUCAAGCAAAAAGGACCAUUCAGAGUCUCGAAGAUAUGCUAAGGGCGUAUGCAGUUGAUUUCAAGGAAAGUUGGGAUGACCACUUAUCUUUAAAUGAAUUUGCAUACAAUAAUAACUAUCAUUCUAGUAUUCAGAUGGCUCCAUUCGAAGCUCUCUAUAGUAGGAGGUUUGAAGUUAGUGAGGCCUCAUUCAUAGGUCCUGACGUGGUAUUCGACGCCUUAGAGAAAGUUCAGUUGAUCAAAGAGAGACUCCAGGCUGCUUUGAGCCGACAAAAGUCUUAUAUAGAUGUUCGUAGAAAGUAUUUUGAGUUCGAGGUAAAUGAUUAUGUCUAUCUUAAGAUCUCUUCUAUGAAGGGAGUAAAGAGGUUCGGCAAGAAAGAGAAACUCAGUCCCUGAUAUAUCGAUCCCUUCAGGAUUCUCAAUCGCUUUGGCAAGGUAGCUCAUGAGCUUAAAUUGCCUUCAGAUCUUGCCUCAGUUCAUCCAGUUUUCCAUGUCUCUUUGCUCAAGAAGUACAUAGGUGACCGAAUAGUUGUAGUCCCUAUUCAGAGCUUUGACGUUCAGAAUAGCCUCACUUAUGAAGAGAUUCCCAGUUGAAAUCUUAGACUAUCGGAUUCAUCGUUUGAGAAACAAAUAAGUCUUAUGAGGGAGCUACUUAGGAAGUAGAAGCAGAUAAGCAUACCAAGUAUCCUCACCUAUUCUCCACCUAUUCAGAUCAAGCUCAAGGUAAUCCUUAAGCUUAUUCAGUUUCAUGUUCAUGUUCCCAUCAUAAACUUGGUACCUAUUACCAUAGCAUACUCAGUCAUGCAUUCAUGUCUCAGUUUAGUUAUAAAAUCAUGCAUCAGCUAUAAAUUCUCAUCUUAAGAAACUUAGUUUAUCAGAUUGCUCAGUUAUGUAUUCAUGUAUCAGUUAUCCAUGCAUAAGAUAUGCAUAAGUUUAGUAUGUUUAGUAUGUCAAUUAUGAAGGCAUGUCUCAGUCAUGCAUGUUCAGUUCAUGUUCAGCUUGUCUUUUAUCCCCUCUCAAUUGAUUAUCAUUCGAGGAUGAAUGUUCCUAAGGAGGAGAUAUUGUAAGACCCCAUAAAAUCCUAAGUCUAGAACUCAGCUCAUUUGGCUCUACAAGCCUCAAGACUUAGCAAAUUUUGAUAAAGUUUAACACUUAGUCUCAUUUUAGACCUCCAAACCUUGAGGAUUUAUUUGAAGACCUUCUCGACCUUUGUUUUUGGGGUUUUUAGUUGUGUUGUGAUAGGGCAAGGUCGUAGUACAUCCCGGGUAAGUUUUGGAAGUUUUUGGAUAGCGUAAGGCCACGUUUAGGUGCCCAUAAUAGUAGCUCAGGGCGAUAAGCCCGCGCCGCCCUGGCAAGAGCACUGCUCUAAGCCAGGAGAUGCCUUGGCUAGUUCGGCGAACUUUCCAGGCGACGCCUGCUAACUCUGGUGGUACCCAUGUUUUUAAGCAUUCUACCUUCACAUUUUUAAGGGUAUUUUGGUCAUUCUCCAUCCAUAUAUAAGCUUGUAAACAUGGGAUUUAAGCUCCAAGACACCAAAAUAUUGUGCUUUUGUUGAAUUCCUCUCAAGAACAACCAAGAACAAGUCUAGAGUUCAAUUGGGGGUUUCAAGUUCCAAGCAAAUUCAACCGUAGAUUUCACGAAUUAUUAUUCUAAGGUAUGUGCAGUGUUCAUCCAUGGAUUCCUUUCAUCUGUGGAGUUCAAGAAUCAAUCUUUAAAUACUAAAUCAUGAAUGUUUUGGGGUGAUGUGAGUAUACUCAUGUUGGUGGUUGUUGUUUGUGCUAUAGAGUAGUAGUUUGAUGGAUUUUCAUGAAGGUUAUGAUCAUGUAGUUGGAACCCAUAAAGUUGAUGGUUUAAUUUAGAAAAAUUCAUGAACACACUAUGCCUUAAAGAGUGCAUGCAAGGUGUUUGAUAAAAUGCUUACAAUGCUAGAAAUUCAUGUUUACAUGGUCCCAUAUUAUCUACAUGACAAGUCCAUGUUAACUAUAUAAUGCAAUAUGAGUUCUAUGCCAUUGUUUUGUUGCUAUUGUUGUGGUAUGAAGAAUUUAUGAUAAUUGAGUGAUACAAUAUGUACAUGAUAUAUAUUCCAUGCACUCCCUACCAUGUACAAGAUGUUGAAAACUACAUGUGGUAUAUUAUCCCCUACUUAUGAUAUUAUGAAUUGUGGACUCCAAUCUUGUGAUCAAGUCAUGUUAUGCGUGUCAGUUUCCUUCUAUCAAGUCCUGGGGAUAUUCAUACCCAAAAAAUAUAGUUGUGUGCUUAGAUCCAUGUCAUGUUUCACGAUAUCCAGAAUCAAGCCAUGAUUCAGUAAAAUUCAGUAAGUCAUGUGACUCAGGAAAACCUCAUGAUCUCAAUCAGUUAUCAGAUAUCAGUAGAAUUUCAUCAAUCAACGGAAUUCAGUAAGUUCAGUUCACGUACAGUUAGUUAAGUCAUGUUCAGUCACUUCAGAUGGGAGUAGGAGCUAGCACCGAGUGAACCCCAGGAUGGGAACUCACCUGUUAUAUAAAGGUUUCUCAUAUGUUGUCCUUACCGAUGGUGCGGUAUUAACACCCUCCUAGUCAGGGCAGAGAUUGGACCCCAGCUUAGCUAUAAUGGCAUAUAUGGGGCAUGUCGGUUAAACAACUACAUCCCAUAGUUUCAGUAUCAGUCUCAAUAAAUGAACUCAGAUAGUUCUUCAGAUGUCAGUAUAUCAGGACUGUCAGAUACAGUCAAAUAUAGUUAUAGUACGGAACUCAGAUAGUUUCAUCAGACUCAGGACUGUCAGACAUAGUCACCCAUGUUAUCAAAACUACAUUAUCAUCUAUGUCAUUUAUUAUUAAACCAUGUAUUACCGUACAGAUUUGACUAUCACAUAUUCACGAUUCCAGUUACUAUGUACGCAUGUUUGCACUCUCACGUUCAUAUAAGUCAGUCAGUUAGCCUUGUUCAUGCAUGUAAACCCUGUUUAUAUUUAUCCUACCUCACUCGUAUACUUAGUACAUUCCCAUAUACUGACGCAUUUGUGCUAUGGUGCUUUACUUUUAUGUUACACCAUAGGUUCACAGACACAAGAUCUAGAUCAGCAGUAGCAUCUCAGUCGUAGAGUUGCAGUGAGUCCUUAUUCAUUCGAGGAUGAUAUUAUUCAUUUAUUAUUUCAGUUAGCUUUCAGUUUACAGAGUUAGUUGGAGACAUAUUCCUUCAACUCCUUAUUUCAGAUAGUACUUAGAGACUUUUAGAUUUAGUUCAGAAUUAGUCCAGAUUUAUAUUUAGGUUUUAGUUGUUUUGGGUAUUCAUUGCCCCUAUGGAUGUCAUGUUUUGACAGAUUCUUUAUUCAGUUAAACCUUAUGGCCUAUUGUUCAUGUUUUCUGCAUUUUAUAUAUUAUAUAUUGUAGUAUACAGGUACAGAUAUCAGUCAUGGGUUAGCUGUGGUCCUUCGGGGUCAUGAUCACCGUGUAGCAUUUUGGUUCAGAAAAAAUUAGGGCGUUACAUUUAGAUACAAAGUUCUAAACUUUGAUCCUAGUAAGUUAUAAUUAUAUGAUGUUCAAGAAAAAUGCCCUUCAAGUUAUAUGUUAAUUGAUGUAUUCUUGAUAAUUAGGUGUAGAAAUUGUUGAAUAACUAAAGCAUGCUUCCCAUAUGUUUGAUAAAAUGCUUGUGUGAAGAAAAUUGGUACAUUGUAGCAUGUUGAAUAAAAAUCCCCAAAUUUUGUAUAAGUCAUGUAUGCCAAGUGUUUGUUGAAAAGCCUUAGUAAAUGAAUUGUGACAUGUUAGCAUGAAAUCCCCUAAUACGUACACUUUUAAUGCAUGUUAAGUGUUUGAUGCAAGAUCUCGUUGAAUGAAGUAUGAGCCAAUAGCAUGUUUCCCUAUACUAUCAUAUGUUUAUGAUUUCCGAGUGCUUGAAGAGAUGCUUUAAUGAUUGUAAUGGUGAUUGAAAGCCCAUGGUCAUGAUUAUUUCAAGUAUAGUUAUAUUUUACUUUUAUAUUAUCGAGUCCUGGAGGUAUUUAUACCCAAAAUUUAGCUGCUUGUCUAGAUCCGAGUAUGUCUCAAGAUUAUCUCAGUCGUGCUACUAUCAGUAGAACUCGAUCAGUUGCUAAAUUUAGGAAAUCUCGAUAAUCUCAAUGUCAUUAGCAUUCCAGCUUCACUCCAGUACUCAGCUUAGAUCUUAGUAAUAUUCAAUUCAGACCUCAGUAGUGUUCAAGUAUCCAAUUUAGAACUCAGUAGCAUUCAUCAAACAUCAAACUCCAGCAAUAGUUCACCAGUCUUUGGAAUCAAGUGAACUCAGCUUAGCUCAGUUAAUCUGUGCAAUCAGUAAUAGAUUCAGCUCAGUCUAGUACAGUUUAAGAAAAAGAAUCAGUUCAGAGUCUUUCAGUUGGGAGUAGGAUUUAGCAUCGAGCAAACCUAGAGAUGGAGGCUCACCCGUUAGAUAGGACUGAGAUCCCUAGGAGCAAUCCCAAGGUUACAGAACUACGUAGCCAGCGUAGGUAUGAGAUGUCACCCACUAGAUAGGACUGACAUACUCAGGGGUCUCUCGUUAGAUAGGACUUCUCCCAGGAGUCACCUAUUAGAUAGAACUGACUCCAUAAAUUGUCUUUACCUUUGGCAUGGUACUGACACCCUUCCAACUGAGGUUACAGGUUGGACCCUAACUUAGAUAGUAGGGGCAUGUCGUUAGAUGAAUACUUCCUACAGUUUUAGUUUCAGAAGUAGUCUCAGUAAAAGAACUCAGCUUAGUAGUACAGAUUUAGGACUGCCAGAUACAAUCAAUCUUUAUCACUAUAAAUAGACUCUGGGAUCACUCAUUAGAGAAGACUAAUCUCCAUGAUAGUCAAUCAGUAUUAGUAUCAUCAGAUUCAGAGAUCACUCGCCAGAUAAAACUAGUAUCAGGCUAAGCCAAGUCAUCUUUAUUAUCAGUAUAUUCAGAGGUCACCCACUAGAUAGAACAGAUCUCAGAAUUAGUCACCCAUUCUCACUAUCAUUAAGUUCAGAGAUCACCCACUACAUAGGAUUGAUCUCAACCUCAAUUUUAAGUUAUCAUCAUCAGUAGAUUCAGUUAUUUAAUAACUUAGUGUUAGUAAUCCCAGAUGUCAGUAAAGCAAUAUUCAAAUCCUCAGUAUUCAGUGUCCCUAUGAUUAUAGUUAUAGUUUAUGCAUUCAUGCACGCAUUCUUAUUCAGCAUGCUCAGAUUAUUCAGUCAGUAUUGAUCAUGAAUAGUCCCUUACAUUUAUCCUUACCUCAUCUUGCGUACCAGUAUAUUCAAUUGUACUCACGUAUUUGCACUAUGGUGUUUUAGUUUAUGCCAUAGGUUUAGAAACACGAGUUCCAGAGCACCCCUAGUAGACCAGAUCUAGUUAAUAACAGUAGAUCUAGCGGCGAGUCCUUAUCAUUCAAGGAUAGUUUUUAUUUUAUUUUAUUACUAGUUUCAAUAUUUUAGCAGUUGGAUCUAGUUGGGGACAUGUCCCAUCAACUCCUUAUUUAGACAGUUUAGAAACUUUCAGACUAAAGCAUUUUUUUUUUCAGAUUAGUUAUACAGAUAGCUAUUUUAGUUUGAUGUUGAUAGAUUUUAUUUAGUUUUAUUUUAGUAUUUGAACCUUAUGGCAAGUUUCCACCAGUUUUCUGCAUUAUUUAGUAUUUUUAUAUAGUUAUUGCAGCAGGUGCCAGAUAAGGGUUAGCUUAUGGUUCUUUGAGAUUAUGAGCACCGUGUGGCGGUCUAGUUAUAGAAAAUCGAGGCAUUACAAACUUGGUAUCAGAUCCUAAGGUUCAAUAGUAUCCUAGGAAUUCUGAAAAGUCGUAUUAAGUAGAGUCUUGUGCGUGGGUGUGUUGCGCGCCACAUUUAUGUACAGGAGGCUAUAAGGUUUUUUAGGAAUGGUUUCCCUUAUUUCGGUAUUCAUGUCGUGCUAGUGAGCAUAGGCUCAAACUUAAUUCUCAGUCUAAUCCUUUUUCUUCCAUUUUCAAAACAUGUCUCCCAAGAAAAGAAUAGGAAAUCAGACAGCCCCUCAGCCUGUUGAUCCCCAGAAUGAGAGUGUGUUACAUGCCAAGUUUAGAAUAGAUUUUUAAGCACUAGCCCAAGAGGUGACAACUACUGUGCAGGCCAAUAAUUAGGCUGCUGCUCCUCAAUAGCAGGGUGAUGAUGUAGCCGCAGCCAGACUCCAUGACUUUAAUAUAAUGGACCCUCUUGAGUUCUUUAGGUCUAAGGUAGGUGAGGACCUACAGUUGUAUCUAGAGGAGGUACAGAAAAUCACCUAGGUUAUGCAUAUGUCUUAGGAGGAGAGCAUAGAACUGGCCUCUUAUAGGCUGAAAAAUAUUGCUUAUGAUUGGGUUGUAGCAUGAAGGAAGGGUAGAGAAGAUGAUGAUGCUCUUAUGACGUGGUAUGUGUUCCAGGAUGCAUUCUUGGAUAAGAUCUUUCAGUUAGAAAUGAGGGAAGUGAAGGUAGAGGAGUUUAUGAACCUAAGGCAAGGCUCUAUGACUGUAAAUGAGUAUUGUCUAAAGUUUAACCAGCUAGCUAAGUAUGCUCCUGACUUGAUAGCUGACCCUAGAGCGAGUAUGAGUAAGUUCGUGAAUAGUGUGUCUGGUUUGGUUUUGAAGGAGUGUGGAGCUACCAUGAUCAAUAGGGAUAUGAACCUUUCUAGGUUAAUGAUGCAUGCCCAACAGAUUGAGUCAGAUAAGAUAAAGGAUAGAGAGAGAUUAAAUAAGAGAUCCAUAAUAGGAAUUAUAGUUUUUCUCAGCCAGGGUCGCAAGGUGGUAGCCGUUCUCAACAUAGUCAGAAGUUUUCAAUCCAAGCUCCAUCAUCAGCUAGUGUACGUGCACCAAACUUCAGGGAUGUUAGUUAUGAUGGAGCACCAAGCUCCAAAGCCCAAAGUAGUGCUGGUGGUAUUCGUACCUAUCCACUUUGUGAAGAGAGUGGCAAGAAUCACCUAGGUACUUUUAGAGCCGGUAGUGAUGUAUGCUUUAGGUGUGGUAACCCAAGGCAUAAGAUGUGAGAGUGUAGAGUGAUAGCACAGAAGGGUAAAGAUUUACGUCAGUAGGGCACCAAUAGUGGUCAGCGUCAGAAUAGACUUUAUGCCCUCCAGACCCGUCAUGAUCUGAAAGGUUUCCCUGACAUAGAUUUGGGUAUGUUAUAAGUCCUUUGUAUUCAUGUUAUGCAUUGUUAGAUCUCUUUCUCUUAUUUGAUCAUAUGUUUUAGCAUGAGUUAGUUAGUAAAGUCAGCAACUCAGUUUAGCAGUCAAGUAGUCAGAUUUGUAUAGUUGUUUUCUUAUUUUUUCAUUUAUCCAUGCUAACAAAAAUCUCAAAGAAUGUAACUAUUCCAAGGUAUAACCUCCUUGUAGUUAUGAGUAUAACUCAGUUCAUGCAUUAGUUUUGGACUCCUGAGGUUUAGUUAUGAUCCAGUUAGUAGAUGCCCUAUUCAUCACCUCAGUAUAUCAGUGAAGUAAGCGCUCUAUGAAGGACAUAGUGUCCCAAAGGGGAGAUACCCCAUAACUCCCUGAUGCUUUUAUGUAUUUAACCCAUUCAUUUGCAUAUUCAGAUAUUUCUUACAAGCUUUGCAUUAGUUAUCAUUGCAUAGUCAGUCAUGUUUGCAAGAGUCAGUCCAGUGAGAUACCCAUGCAUUAGAUAUGCAUGCUCAGUAGUAGAAGUUCAGCCUAUCAGCUUAUCCAGUCAUGAGUUCAUGAGAACAACUCAGUCACAGAUCCAUACGUCAGAUAUGCAUGUUCCUUAUGAGAAUUCAGCUUAUGAGUAUUCCAUGCAUUAGAUACCAGUACAUUCAAUCGUACUUACGCAUUUGUGCUAUGGUGUUUUACUUUACGCCAUAGGUUCAGAAGAACGAGUUCCAGAGCACCCCUAGUGGAUCAGACCAAUCAGCAGAAGUAGAUCUAGCAAUGAGUCCUCAUCAUUUGAGGAUGGUUCUUAUUUCAUUUUAUUACUAGAUUCAGUAUUUUAGUAGUUGGAGUUAGUUGGGGAUAUGUCCCAUCAACUUCUUUUCAGACAGUUUAGAGGCUUUCAGACUACAGAGUUUUUUUUUUAGAUUAGUUAUACAGAUAGUUAUUUUAGUUUGAUGUUGAUAGUCUUUAUUUAGUUUUAUUUUAGUAUUUAAAAUUAUGGCAAGUUUUCGCCAGUUUUUCGCAUUAUUCAGUAUUUUUAUAUAGUUAUUGCAGCAGGUACCAGAUAAGGGUUAGCUUGUGGUCCUUUGGGAUUAUGAGCACCGUGUGGCAUUCCGGUUAAAGAAAAUCGGGGUAUUACAAAUAUUGACCCAUCUCAAAAUCUCACCUUUUAAUAAAUCAAAACGAUAAAUAAGAUAUACAAAUCAUGAUAGUUAUAUCAAGAUUGAAAAUAUAAUUAUAUUUAAUAGUUUAGAUAAUAUAAUUUUUAUCAGUCAGUCUAAAAUAACAAUCUUUACUCGGUCCUAUUUAAUACAUACAAAUUGCACGCGCACGACUAGUUCGAGCUAUACCAUUCUCAUAAUUAAGAUAAACUAUAUUUAAUCUCAUGCUACAAUCAUUUUGAUGGUUUUUCCAAAUUUUCAUAUACGAUUGUGACCUAUAACUUUAACUUAUAAGAAUCGAUGGUUUAAUCUUCUAUAUAUAAUCUUAAACUCUAUACACCAAAUCAUCUACUAGGAGUUGGCAUAAUUAAACAUUUUUUUUUGGAAUUAAUCUUUUACUAUUUUUUCUAUCUUGUCUUUGAAUAUAAUUUCUCAAAUAUUUUUAAUAUAUAUUAUUUGUUUCACCUCUCUUAUUGAUUUAUUUCUUGAAGUAUUUUUGUGCAUUUAGACGUCCCAUUGCUAUUCACUUACUACCAUAAAUUUCUCUUCAAAUUUGUUGAUUGACACUAUUUGGUAUUGAAAAAGUGUUGUUGCAUUAGUAUGUCUUGUAUUUCAUAUUUGAGAUGUCACAAAAAAAUUUUCUCAUUUUAUACUCAUUCCCCUUUUCUUUCUUUAAUGAAAGCAUGUCUUAGACUAUAUCAUAUCAUACUAUUUGAUGCAAGUAUGUGUUAAUCUAUAGGAAAUGUUUGUCUAAAUUUUAAGCAACUAUACUUGUGGGUCAAUGUCUUCUUUUCAAGGAUUAGUUGAUUAUGUUGUGUUAGGCUCGAUUUUUGUAACAGCUAUCCUUGGGGUUGUGAAAGCUUCAAAAUAACUGUCGAAUAUUUUUUGACUCCGUUAACGCCAAAAAUAGUCAACUUAUAUGGUUUUUCAUGGGCCUUCAUGGUAAAUAUUUCUUUUAUCAUGAUAUGAUUCAUCAUUUUUUUAUUCAAUAAUGCUUUUGAUUUAUUGGUAUUAUGUUAUAGGCUUGGGCAUUUGAAGCCAUUCCUUAUUUGAGACAACAAGUGAACUACCAGGAAGAAGUUUCCUCUCCAAGAAUUCUGAGAUGGUUGUUGGCCAAAACCGACAAAAAUGCAAAAUUUCUUGAUCUUUUCAAUCCCCCCAAGGAAGCAGUAAGUCCAAUUCUCAUUAAGUUUUUAUUUUAAUUAAUGAUUAAAUGAUUUCAUCAUCAUUCUUAAUAUAUGUACCGAUUUAUUUUAAAUUAUCCAUCCGUUGAUUGUUCCAACCAACCGAGAGUUGAAGAUGUCAUUUUUUCUUACUUUAUGGUCUAUGAAAACUUUAUUGGACCCUAAGGUCAUUGAAGGAAUAAAAAUGGAAUUGUUUGGAGCAACAACCAUCACAAGAAAAAUAAUUUUGGAGGGUGGGGCUAAUGAUGCUCCUCUUACAGUUUUUGAAACAACAAGCCAUUAUGAUUAUGAUCAUAAUGAUUGUAUAGAUUUUUCUCCAGAUUUUGCCACAUCUAGGGAAUGUUCUUUAUGAAAAUGUCAAGACUGCAAGGAAAAACACGAUGGAGUGAUUAAUGCUAUUAAUGCACUAACUGCUUCUGUAAAGGAAAUGAAAUCUAAAAGGGGUGUCAUUCCAUCAAAGAGGAUUUCAUAUCUAGGCACUCCACUAGAGAUCAAGGUGACUAAUAGGAGAAGUAAAGACACUUCCAAGGCAUAAUCAAUCAUCAAAAAAGCAAAAUUGCAACGCCUCUGUCUUUGUCUUGCACGAUGUUCAAUGUGCAAGGGCCACAGAAGAGCAGCAUGAGCUGAAAAAGGUGAAUGUACAUAAUCUAUUCCAAAAAAUAAAUAGGAAUAUAUCUGUUUCAACAGAUGAUACAUCUGCUAAAAAUUAUCAAACAGAUAUAUACAUCUGUUGCAACUGUUGUCUAACCUAUUGCAUCAGAUUCGUUAUAUUUUUCAACAGAUGUUUCUUAUGUUGCAACAGAUGGGUCAUUUGUUCAAAAUUAUCGUACUACUCUGAUUUACCUAUUAGAAUUUGUCCCAAUAUAUAAUCCAUCUGAUACAACAUAAGACUCAUCUGUUGCAAUACAUGGAAAAUCUAUUGUAUAUCUCUACUUAGCAUUGACAAUUUUAGCUUUCUAGGUGUAUAUCACAGCUACUGCCGAAGACCAUAAUAUGAUAGUUGAUAAUCCAUCAACUGCUUCCAAAGAUGAAGAAAAACUAGAGCCUAUCAGUUUGGGAGAACGGAAGAAUUACCCAUUUGAAGGGUUCAACAUCUCGAAAGAGUCUCCAAAAAUACUAACACAGUUGAUCAAUGACUAUUCAGAAUGGAUUACCGAUAGGCUGUUAAAGCAUCAUGCCGGCAGGUACAUAAAUCAAUUUUAUGGAUAUUGGUUUAUAUAAUUCUUGUUGUAAGAACCUGACAUUAACACAUAUAAAUCAUCAUGUAGAAAAAAAAUGACAAGUGCUACAAAGUGAACGAAUCUUGUCUUGAUUUUUAUAUGUUCGACUUUGUUAUUGCACAUUUCGGAAUGAAGAAUUGGUUCUAUUUGAUGUCACAGCCCCAUACUUGUUGGAAUGAUGAGGUUUAAAUGUCAUAUAUAGUAGUAUUAAUUAAUACUUUAUUUAAUUGCAUCUAUGUAUUGAUUUUUUGGUCACGUAAUCUGAAAUGUUUGAUAAUAUGUGCAGCAAAUCAAUGUCAUUUUUUACUACCUCCAAAAAAAGGCUAUGUUGCAAACACAAGAACAAUAUAGAUACACAACAGGCAAUUAUUUGUACAAAGUUUACAUCAAUAAUGCUUAUGAUAGGUAUUGUCAACAACAGCCAAAAGUUUUUCGAAAUGAGGAAUGCUUAAUCAACAUCAUCAAAGGUUUUAGCAUUCCGGCUGGCUUACCUUGGAAUUUGCUCGACGAAGUUUACAUCCCAAUUAAUUGUAUUGAUGAAUUCCAUUGGGUGUUGGCUGUUGUCGUUCUAAAAGAGAGGCGCAUCCGAGUUUAUGACUCAAUGUCGUGAAUGAGACGUUCUGGGCUGUCUUCUGAGAUACAAAAGCUGGCCAAAUAUUGCCUACUUACCUUGAUAUGAGUGACUUUUUGGACCAAAAGGUUCGUACUGAUUGGUUGAUGAUUGAAGCAUAUCGGGAUAAAAUGGAUAAUCCAUUUGAUGUAUAAUAUAUUGACGGAAUUGCUCUAAACCAUUGGUAGCCUGUAAGUUUAAGUGUCAUGAUUUAGUUUUAUUUCACAAAUUUCACAACGCUUACAUGAACUGCAAGAUAUGGAUUAUCUAUUUUUUAUAAUACAGGGAUUGCAGUCCUUUUAUUGCCGCCUAUGCCGAGUAUUUGAGCGAUGGAUUACAAGUACCAAAUGUGGACUUGAUGACGGAUUACUCCGCAAAACAUAUACUGCUCUUUUAUGGAAAUAUGAAGAAGUGAAAGCUCAGAAGCCAUACGCAACCGACGUUAAAGAUCCACAAUGACCAAAGCCGAAUUUUGUAGAUCAAUGUAAUAACCUAUCCUCUUUGGUUUAACUUGUUGCUUUAUUGGCAAAGUAGAUCGUCUGUACCCAUAAUGAUUUUUUUUACAUUUCAUUUAUUUGUUCAGUUAUUUCAUGUAAUUUUCGAAGGCUUGGAUUUAUUUUAUUCUGUCUAUGAAUAUAACUAAUUCUUAGUUUUGAGCAUGUUAAUUGAAAUAGAGUACUAGAUUCAAAUAUCGCAAUAGAUAAUACAUCUGCCGCAACAGAUGACAUAUCUUAUCAGACAGAUUUAGACAUAUGUUACAACAUGAGAUGCAACACGUAGGUCAUCUGCUGGAAAUUAUAUAACAGGUCUUUCUACUUUUUUUAUUUGCUCCAACAGAUUACCGAUCAAUUGCAACAGAUAAGUUAUAUGUUGCAACAGAUUAUAAAUCUGUUGCGAUAGACAGACGGGGAACUUCUGCAUAAUGCAACAGAUGACCAACUUCUGCAUAAUGCAAUAGAUGACCAACCUAUUCUAACAGAUAAUCAAUCUGUCACAACAGAUACUAUAUCUGUUAUGAAAGAUAUAAAAUCUAUUGCAUUAUAAAUAUUCAACCUGGCAAGACUUAAAAAUUAUUGCCCUAAGAGAAUUGGCUUGAAAUGAAAAAUUGUUAUCGUGUUUAUCUCUGUCUUUGUACAUGUUCUUUUUUACACACGGGCUCCAACCAUUUAGUUAGUACCUUAUAUUCCUAGAACCAUUGCAUAUUUUCCACAAUGGUGUCACACAUACCGAUCAUUUAUGUGUCGGUAAGCAAACACUCAAUAUAUGCAAGCGAGUACGGCCCGCACGUUGCACCCGUUGUAUUUUGUAGGAGCUGGAUGUUCUUAUUUCGAUCUUCAAAAUCUCAUGAUUCCUUCACCAAGACUUUAGCCGGCAAAUGAUCCAUCAGCUUACUCUGCGUCAACAACUUAGGCAACAACUUCAAGAGUGGCUGCAUGUGGGUUAAAAACUUCUUCUCUCUGAAGACAGGUAAGUUACAGUCAUAAACCUUAAUCUUUCCCUCAUAUAGUAGUAUCUCAACAGUGAGAAAAUGUGUGAGAUCCACGUUCAUGACUGUAAGGAUUCUCUUUGCCUUGGUCCAGCUCUUGCCGUGUUGAUAUGGGCUCUUCUCUCUAACAUAUUUAAUCGCUUCUUCAUCCCAUUGGAACGUAGAAACUAACUGAUCAAAUCUCGGGCCACCGGAGUCAGCUAUCUUACAGAGUUUAGCGUACCUAUCCUUGAAAUUAUUUUAGAAGUUGAGGCCCAUUAUCCUAUCGGCAGCAUCAUAAGCAUCCAGGUACGCUAAUUGCCUGCCUCUCAUGAGGAAGAGAAUUUCAUCAACCUACUGUGGUAUAAGAAGACAAUUUUUAAAUAGGUUAGUAAUUGUAAAGAAUAAAAACAAAGUCAAAAGAAUCUGAUGCAGAGGGUUCUCUGAAUCAGUUCACAGAUUAUCCAGCCAACGCAACUUAUGCAACAGAUGUGUAUUAUGUUGCAACAGAAUACCAAGUUUUUGCAACAAAUUACACAUCUACUGUGUAGAUUUUUCUUCAUGGAGUAGAUUGGAAGGGUAGGUUAGCAAAAAUAUACUUUUUCCUCGUACCACACACAUAUAUUUGCUAUAUUUGAGAAGUCUUUGGUGGCAAAUGAAUGCAUGGUGUAUUCUUUUUUAACCUUCAUCUUGAUGAAUUCUUUCAGUUCCUUCUUCUUCUCCUUUCCAAGCGCCGUGAAUAUUUCCACCUUCUUCGGCAACCCCUAAACUUCAACAACUGUUGGAGGGGGGAGUUGUAAUUUUUACUGAUUUUAGAACGGAGAGAAUUUGUCUAAUUUUUCUUAUCUUCCUCCUAACCUCCAGUGUAGGAGUGCAUGGAUCCCUCACCUUGUUGGAUGGUAUGAUACCCCUCCUAGAUUUCAACUUCUCUGCAGCUUCAGUAAUAGACUCUAGCUUGUCGAGGAGUUUAUCCUCUCUAUCCUUGCACACUUUGCAUUUGCAAUGAGAACAUGAGGGUGAUGAGUGAUGAGAAGGACCACUGUAAGGGUAGAAGGGACUGGUGUAGGGGUGGGAGGGACCCGUGUAGGGGUGCUUUCAAACAUUUAUUUUCUACUGAGCACCAACAUGCUCAUAAUCACGACUGACAGCAGAAUCAGUAGCAGGAUGGCUACCACCAUCACAAAAAACUCUACCAGCAACACCCCAGAAGAAGCACCCGAAUCUGUUGCAGUUUGACUUUGGUCAUGAAGAGCUUCAACAUUAGACUGACCUUACCUAACUGCUCUUCUUAUGGAUGUUUCUCCAUCCAAUUUCCUUUUUAUUAACUUCACCGUUGGGUCUUCUUUUGUAUCAACAAGACCCAGAUUAAGAAAAGAAGUCAUCCCCAGCUCAUCAAUGGUAGACACGAUCCAAGGAUGCAUAACCUAUAAAAAAAGAUAGGAGAAAUUUAAAUCAUCUAAUAAUAAUUUGCAGUCAGUUAAGUUAAAUGGGGAUCGGGUUAUGUUAACACAACCAACUUAUGCAAUAGACGAUCUAGCUACCACAACAACUGAUCUGCAUAUUGAAAUAGAUUGAUACUAUGUUGCAUUAGAAUACCCAUCUGUUGCAUAAUUUAUAGUAGAUAGGUAAUCUGUUGAGUAAGGUUCAGAGACCAGAGCAACAUAUGGUUAAUCUAUUAUGAAAUAUGGAUCGUCUGUUCCAACAGAUUACCUAUCUAUUGUACUAGUUGCAGUUGAUAGGUAAUCUGUUACAACAGACUACCCAUUUAUCGCAAUAGAUGGAAUAUCUGUUUUAAUAUCUUUCUUUGAGGCUAAUUAUUUUAGUUGAAAGAAGAUGUACUGCAUCAUCUUGAGGGUUAAAGAGAUCAGCCUCAUUAAUAUUUAUUUACUACUCUCUAUUGCAGCCAACCACCUAAGGAUCCUUGGAUGAGAAACCUUAUUUGGGUAAUCCAUGAAAUGCUUUCGAAGGGGAGGAAUGUCUUCACAUGCCCAAGCCUAAAAAUUGUAAACAGGAAGCAAGCAAAAAAAAAGUCACAAGUAUAUUCAAUAUAAAUUAAUGAAUGAGUAAAAAUAGUGAUCAAUUUUACCAUGAAAGCCCAAGGAAAGCCAUAUAAUGUAGUUGUCUUUGGCUUUAUCUCUUUCAGUAAGUAUUUGACAGUCAAGUAGUAGCUGUCAUAGCCCCAGGGAUAAUCAUUGAAUUUCCAAAAAUCAUUAGCAAACUCCAAUAAAUAACGUUCUAUGACUUUUCUAAUGUCUCUUGCCAAUAAAACGGAAUGGACAAACAAAACUAAGCACAAUUUCUCCAUGUAGUGCUUUGGUAUGUAUUUAUUCUUGAGAUCCGCUAUCAAAUCCUUCACUUUGUAGCUAGGUCCAACAAUGCCCAACUACCCAUCUUUUUUUACGUCGUGUUUGUUGGACUCUUUGUGGGGUGUUUUCUUGAUGGGAGGUUCUUCUGGACGAUCGUAUCUCAAGCCCGUCACAAUGGCAAACUCUUUCAAUCCAAAACAAACCGGCAUGCCACAGUAGUUAAUCCAGACUUCAUCCAUCUUUUUUCUGCCCUCCUUCAGUCCUCGAUCAUCCCCCACAUACAUGAUCCUGUGCUUGAGAAGACCAUAUACCAUGAUUAUUGGAACGGAGAGGGCAGGGCCCAGACAGCUCAAGAAAGUGUGCAAAGCAGCUCUUCUUAAAAAAUCCAUCUAUGUUUUCCUUCUUCAUAAUACACCUAAGUUUAUCAAAAGGUUUCCCCAACUGACAUUUGUCACUCUCCCUUUUUAACUCCAAAAUAUGUGGUCUUAAGUUUAAAAGGGGUUUCUUAUUAUUGAAGUGAUAAAGGGUGAAAUUUGUUUCGAAAAAGGAUUAUUUUUACUUUCAAAACUCAGAUUUGCAACUUGUCAUAAUCCGAUGUGCCAAGUCACCUUUGAAAAAUCCUUUUUCAAAAUGGUUUUGACUCUUUUAAAAAUGAUUUGCGAAUAGAGAUUCCGGUUAAGGAAUUCUGUUGACUGAGGGGAAGGCGUUAGGGACCGCUCGAUCUUGUGGUUGGACCACGGUCGCUUAGUGGAGCAAAUCGCUAACUUGACACUAUAAAUGUACAAACCAUGUAAACACAUAAGACAAGCAAACAAACAAAUCAAACAAAAAUUUAAAACCAAAAUAAAGUCCAGUCCGAAUUAUAUAGUACCAAAAUACAAAUAAAAGAUACCGAAAUAAAAAUCCUAUUCUAAACUAAUCCUAGACUAAUCUUCAAUGCCUUACCCGAUGCCUUGGGCCUUCCUCACGAAUGUCUUCCACCAACAUAGUACGUCGGGGUAUUCCCCGAUGAAUAAAUAUAGUGUGUCUCGGGGCAUUCCCCGGCUAAAUGAAUACAUUUUGAAUUAAAUAUGAUAAACUAUAAAGAAACAUUCAUACACACAUUCCAACAUUCAACCAAAACAACAAGUUCUAAAAUUUGCCUACCCGAACCUAUAUUGCUUAUUAGUUUCAACCCAUCAUAGAUCUAUCACAGUUCAUACAAUACUCAUGUUCAUUCUAGAUUAAACAAACAAUGACAAACUCAAGUUCAUCUAAUUCAACCAUUUUUAUCAAGUUCUCAAUUCCACCCCACCUAACAUCGUUUUCAUCAAUUACACAAAAAAUUACUCCAAUUCGUUCCACAUAUCACCGAACUUACACCGUCAAACACAUAAAACAUCAUAACAUCAACAAAAUUCAACAAUCAUGAUCCGCCACACAUAAUCACAACUAAUCCAAUCAAAUCAAGAAAAAAAGAAAAGAGAAUGAGUUAAAGGAGUGGACCUCAAUAACGCUUGUUUUUGUUGAUAAUAAAGAAAUCUGAGAUCGAAAACCUCAAACAAGGAUCCCAACAAUGAUCAGAGCUCUAACUCAUGAAUAUUAGGCCCACUAGAUUGCGAGACACCCCCUAAAGCACACUAUCGAAGAACCAAUCACAAAAAAGGAAAACCCAAAGCUCUCUAAAUCUGGCAAAGGAUUGAAAAACUUAUAGGAAUUGAGUUCCGGUGAGAUGACAGUGAUCAAAACCAGCGGGAAAGGUCAGAUUCCAAUGACCUUGAUAUUUUCCGAUCAGAUUCAACUAAAAACAACUGGGAAAAUAAAUAAAAUUUAGGGAUUUCAACUGGACUUGCUGAACGGGUGAUCUGGACACACAUGACGCCGAUUCGGCAAGAUUUAGAAUGAAAACAAGGUCGAGAUUCACUGUUUCGGCAUGG